GAAAGUAAUUAAGGGCGCAUGGCGGAUGCCUUGGCUCACAGAGGCGAUGAAGGACGUGAUAAGCUGCGAUAAGCUGCGGUAAGGUGCAAAUAACCUUUGACCCGCGGAUUUCCGAAUGGGACAACCCACCCACGCAAUACGUGGGUAUCACUGCUCAGCGGUGAGGCGAACCGGGGGAACUGAAACAUCUUAGUACCCCGAGGAAUAGAAAAUAAAUUAAUGAUUCCCCCAGUAGUGGCGAGCGACCGGGGAAUAGCCCAAACCAGCGUUGUGGCAACGCAUCGCUGGGGUUGUAGGACCGCGCUGUUGUACAUUGCGUGUGAGGAGAAUCUCCUGGAAAGGAGUGCCAUAGCGGGUGAUAGCCCCUUAUCCGAAGCAUAAGAUGACAUAGCGGUAUCCUGAGUAACGCGGGACACGAGUAAUCCUGCGCGAAUCUGCCGGGACCAUCCGGUAAGGCUAAAUACUCCUGUGAGACCGAUAGCGAACCAGUACCGUGAGGGAAAGGUGAAAAGCACUUCGAUAAGAAGAGUGAAAUAGUUCCUGAAACCAUGCGCCUACAAGCGGUCGGAGCUGCUUUAGCAGUGACGGCGUGCCUUUUGCAUAAUGAACCUACGAGUUACCUUCACCAGCAAGGUUAAGGGCCAUUAGGCCUGGAUCCGCAGUGAAAGCGAGCCUGAAUAGGGCGUAUUAGUUGGUGGUGGUAGACGCGAAACCAAGUGAUCUACACAUGUCCAGGAUGAAGUCCCGGUAACACGGGAUGGAGGUCCGAACGGAUAAGCGUUGAAAAGUUAGGGGUUAGAAGCUGCGCAGUAAGGGGACGGGUGCUAAGGUCCGUUCCCGAGAGGAGAAGAAUCCAGACCGCCGUCUAAGGUCCCGGAGUUCUGCCUGAGUUAGUCUAACGAAGUCUGGUCCCCGCGACAGCCAGGAUGUUGGCUUGGAAGCAGCCAUUCAUUUAAAGAGUGCGUAACAGCUCACUGGUCGAGGGUCCGGGCGUGGAUAAUAAUCGGGUAUAAGGCAGACACCGAAGACGCGGGAUAGAAUUUAAAAAAGUAUCGGUAGGGGAGCAUUCCAUCGGCGUUGAAUGCGAUAAGACAAUUAUCGCUGGAGCUUAUGGAAAAGCAAAUGUAGGUAUAAGUAACGAUAAGGAGGGUAAGAUUCCCUCCCGCCGUAAGACUAAGGUUUCCCGGGCAAUGCCAAUCAUCCCGGGGUCAGUCGGGUCCUAAGGCUCAGCCGAACGGCGAGGCCGAUGGCAGAAAGGGUUAAUAUUCCCUUACUGCCGCACGGAGCGACGCGGAGACGGAGGCGUGACACCACCGCGGAGAGACGGAAUUCUCCGUUGAAGAGUGUAGAUGUUGAGGGUGGCAGGCAAAUCCACCACCCGAGUCGAAUCUCGAAAGUAUGCUUUUCCCUUCGGGGCGAGGCAAUAGUGUGGGUAAUCAUACUCCCGAGAAAAUCCGCUAAGCUUAAUCCGUGCGGCACCCGUACCGCAAACGGACACACGUAGUCGGGUAGAACAUACUAAGGCGUUGAGAGAUUCAUGGUUAAGGAACUAGGCAAAUUGACCCCGUAACUUCGGGAUAAGGGGUCCUCGUCGCAAGGCGAGGCGCAGAGAAUAGGUCCAGGCAACUGUUUAACAAAAACACAGGGCUGUGCAAACUCGAAAGAUGAGGUAUACAGCCUGACACCUGCCCGGUGCCGGAAGGUUAAGAGGAGAGCUUAGAGGCAACUCGAAGGUUUGAAUUGAAGCCCCGGUAAACGGCGGCCGUAACUAUAACGGUCCUAAGGUAGCGAAAUUCCUUGUCGGGUAAGUUCCGACC
RNAcentral lists this ribosomal RNA (1817 nucleotides) under human oral metagenome. RNAcentral describes it as "bacterial LSU rRNA". It matches the Rfam family "Bacterial large subunit ribosomal RNA", at positions 1 to 1988 of the family's 2925-position model. The record is from RNAcentral.